ACUCUUUUUCUCUCUAUUUUUCUCUCCUUAGAUCUGAUCACAUCAGAUUUGGGUGUUGGGGUGAAGGGAAGAGAGAAGAUGGUACGAGGAAAAAUAAGUUGAAUGUCUUAAAGAAGCCAUUCCACACAUCUCAAGCUAAAACCUCACACGCCCUAAUUUUUGUCACACACAACCUUUUUAAUCACAUGCCAAAACACUUCCUAAUGCCCUGUUAGAUCAAAUCUCAUUUGAUCUUAGGCAUUCAAAUCCAAAGGGAUGGAUUAGAUGCGUUGAGAUUAAGUUGUCCGACAAGAAAGGGGACUCCCA
Molecule: long non-coding RNA, 306 nt
Filed under: Elaeis guineensis (African oil palm)
Lineage: Eukaryota; Viridiplantae; Streptophyta; Magnoliopsida; Arecales; Arecaceae
Description: long non-coding RNA (EGUI_LNC063565)
Source: RNAcentral